CUUUAUUUGUGUGGAAGAGCUUGCUUGAUAACUUUAAUUAGCUAGCUUGCUAACUGUACCUGCUCUCACUGAUUUAGUCAACAGAGCGUGUGUAACGUUCGUGAAGACGGCACCGAAAUGAAGCACCGUAACAUGUGUUGCAAUUCAGUCUGGCAGUAUGCAAUGGCAGCACAACACGCAGGCUGCCACAGGAUGAGGAUGCUGAUGCCUUCCUCAGGUAGGCCUCGUCCUUGGAGUGGCUCUUGGCGAAGGCGGAGAGCAGGAGGCCCACGGCCAUCAGGAUCCCUCCCGCGCAGAAGAGCGCCGCCCCGGCCAGCUUGCUGAGGUGGAGCCCCUGGUUGAAGCGCACGGCUUGGCUAUCCACGAACACCAUCUCCCCCUCCCCGAAGGCUUCUAUUUUGGACGGCACGGCAUAGCCCACGGUGCAGAAGAGAUUGAGCAACCAUAGUGCCGGUCCCUCAGUUUAACAGACACAUAUGACUCGGCCUUCCCAGAAUUCCACGCAGCCCGACACCAGAAGAUCACCCCACCUUCCAGAGGACAGAGCUCCACCUG
Long non-coding RNA from Anguilla rostrata (American eel), 555 nucleotides. RefSeq lists it as uncharacterized. Lineage: Eukaryota; Metazoa; Chordata; Actinopteri; Anguilliformes; Anguillidae. The record is from RefSeq and is a predicted model, not a curated record. The transcript has 4 exons.